RNAcentral lists this ribosomal RNA (606 nucleotides) under Triticum aestivum (bread wheat). RNAcentral's name for it is "partial small subunit ribosomal RNA". The record is from RNAcentral. Lineage: Eukaryota; Viridiplantae; Streptophyta; Magnoliopsida; Poales; Poaceae.
AUGCGGGCGGCCAUCCCUCCCCACUGGGUGGUCGACGAACGAGGUGCACGUCAGGCGGCAGCACCAGGCGGCAGACUACGGGGAGCUCGGGGCCGGCGCCGGCGCAGGUUUCUACGAGAGCGAAGCGGGCGGGUCGUCCGAGAGCCCGAGCCCGAGCCGCUCGCGGCGGGAGACCGCCCGCGCGGGGGAUCCGGCAGCAAGCGGACCCGAGCAGCACGCGGUGGGAGACCGCCCGCGCGGGGGAUCCAGCAGCAAGCGAACCCAUGCCUUCGAGUGAACAAACUCUCCGAGAAGAGGAGGAGGAGCAGGACCAACGAGAAGAUGAAGGCGUUGCAGAGCCUGAUACCCAAUUCCAACAAGACUGACAAGGCGUCGAUGCUUGACGAGCAUAAAAGAAGUGCAGAAGUUCAGGUCAUCAGAUGGCUGAGAGUGGCAGCAAUAUACCAGCGAGAAAAUGGGUGGGAUGAAUCAUGUAGUCGAGGCAGAAUUCCAGGCCAUACUGACCCUCGUUGUAGCAUUCCCAAACAUUUUUUACUACGCCACCACCACCACCAAAUGCGACCUCCGCCGCAAUCGUCAUGGCGGCAAGUAGUUCAGGUUAAUUAA